Magallana angulata is the source of this 363-nucleotide long non-coding RNA. RefSeq lists it as uncharacterized. NCBI's taxonomy places the organism in Eukaryota, Metazoa, Mollusca, Bivalvia, Ostreida, Ostreidae. The record is from RefSeq and is a predicted model, not a curated record. The transcript is spliced from 2 exons.
CAUUUACGAUGCUGUUUUAAUUUGUUUUCUAUUUUUAGUUAUCCUGUACUGGACCUCUUAUUCUAUAACCCUUUCUGGUACCCCUCGAUACCUGUAUAUAUCCACCUGAGUUUAGGUUUUUGGGCCUCUUUGGACCGGGUAAAAUCACCUGCACGUUCUUCCUGAUAUUAUCAGUUUCGUUAGUUCAAUUGUAAAAAUUUUAUUAUACAGACACGGCUUCUGAGGUCCCGAAUAUCGAACACUGAUUGUGUUGUGUACAGGAAUGGAGUGACCUGUGAAGUUCAGUGUACCAGUGUCCUGACGACGACUAUCAGUCCAUGAAUUUGUUUGAAAUUUCGUGUAAUAUAAAUUGUGAAAACGUUA